CAGUGUUCCCUGCCCUCACGGGUAGGAUCGCCCACCCUUGAAUAUGAUGUUUGUUGCUUUGGCGGGCCCUGAGGCCCAGCCGCGCUCCCGCUCCGGCGGGGGAGUGCCCGCCAGAGGACCCCAAACCCUGAAUAUUAGUGUCGUCUGAGUACUAUAUAAUACUUA
This 165-nucleotide unclassified non-coding RNA is filed under the name uncultured Helotiales. RNAcentral's name for it is "sequence contains ITS1". The record is from RNAcentral. Lineage: Eukaryota; Fungi; Ascomycota; Leotiomycetes; Helotiales.